Long non-coding RNA from Nicotiana attenuata, 770 nucleotides. RefSeq lists it as uncharacterized. Lineage: Eukaryota; Viridiplantae; Streptophyta; Magnoliopsida; Solanales; Solanaceae. The record is from RefSeq and is a predicted model, not a curated record. The transcript has 2 exons.
CUGUCCAUUUUCUGUUAAAUAGAUGUUUAUUUCCUGUUUUUUAGCUGAUAGAAUUCCUAGAGAUUCCUUCUUUUUCUUCUCUAAUAACAGUAGCCCUUAUACUUUAUAUAAGAGACACACAUAUACUCUGAUCCGGGAGAUUCUCUCUGAAGAAAGAAACAAUAUGAAAAUUCCAAUUUAAAGACAGAAAUACAAAAAUAUAGAAAGGCUCCAAACUUUUCUUGUUCUGGAUUCCGGCUUCAUUUCUUUAGGGUUUCACAAGUUUGAUUGAUUGUUGAGACUUGGGUUACACUGGUGAAGAUUAUUGCUGAACUUCCAGUUUGAAUCAGGUUUUGUUCUUAUUUGGAUAUCCUAGUGCUUUGUUGCUUAUCUAGCUUUAGCAAUAGCUCUAAGCAUAAAGCCACCAUAGUUUUCUGCAUAUGUGAUGAGUAAUUUUGUGCCAAUUUGAGGAUAUUGAAGGUUGUUGUUGCUGAUCACAUGGCUAUAGUUUACGGAUUUGGCCACUAGUUGGCCAAAUAAGCAAAGUUGUAAGUCAAAGAAUGAGAUUCUGUCGCUGGUAGUAUGCUGAAAAUUAACUACUUCAUGUUGCGGAUUAAAGUUCAUGUGGAUAGACUAUAUCUGAAUUGGAAAGUAUUCAUUAGUUUAGCAAUUUCAUGGAGAAUUGUAAUAAAAGUGAUUAAUGUUUUAAAGUUUGGAUUCCGACUUUUGUAUAUCAAAUUGGCUGCAAUUUUUUUUCUUUGAAAAUCUGAUAAGCUUGUCAUUAUGUUUAA